GAUGAACGCUGGCGGCGUGCCUAAUACAUGCAAGUCGAGCGAACGGACGAGAAGCUUGCUUCUCUGAUGUUAGCGGCGGACGGGUGAGUAACACGUGGAUAACCUACCUAUAAGACUGGGAUAACUUCGGGAAACCGUAGCUAAUACCGGAUAAUAUUUUGAACCGCAUGGUUCAAAAGUGAAAGACGGUCUUGCUGUCACUUAUAGAUGGAUCCGCGCUGCAUUAGCUAGUUGGUAAGGUAACGGCUUACCAAGGCAACGAUGCAUAGCCGACCUGAGAGGGUGAUCGGCCACACUGGAGCUGAAACGCGGUCCAGACUCCUACGGGAGGGAGCAGAAGGGAAUCUUCCGCAAUAGGCGAAAGCCUGGCGGAGCAACGCCGCGUGAGUGAUGGAGGUCUUCGGAUCGUAAAGCUCUGUUAUUAGGGAAGAACAUAUGUGUAAGUAACUGUGCACAUCUUGACGGUAACGAAUCAGAAAGCCACGGCUAACUACGUG
Molecule: ribosomal RNA, 497 nt
Filed under: uncultured bacterium
Lineage: Bacteria
Description: partial 16S ribosomal RNA
Rfam family: Bacterial small subunit ribosomal RNA
Source: RNAcentral